UAGUAUAUCAGCUGCUAUCAUGAUUCCAUCAAGUAUCAAGGAAUGAAGAAGCUCCUCCCUGCCUAGUGAGCCUUCCUGUGGACUGUUUAGCCAGAAUAUAGGUAAUGGCUGAUCCUAUGAGUCAUCAACCAGGUAAGAGCAUGUGACUUUCUCAUGUGACACUGGACUUCAUCUUGUGCCUGUAAUUUUCCAAAAACUAAGACUGAGCAUCCCCUCCACAUGGGAGAAGGUAUAAAAGACCUUGGAAGCAUCUCCAUUUUGCCUCUUUCCUUCUCUGAUCUCCGGACUAUGGACUGACACUAAAAGAAAUAUUCCAACCAAUGAACUAAGGACCUUCCAACCUUUUGGAAAUUACCAGAGACUUUACAAGACAGCGAUCUAUAACAUCACUGCUUCAAACCUGCUACAAGAAUUCUGCAAUGAUUCCAGGCACAAGUCAACAGCAUUCCAGCUUACACACCUUCUGUUAAUGAAGGGAAAGGAGCGAUGACACACUGCCAGGAACUCUCUGCUUCUCUGAGGUGUGUAACCUGGAGGCACAGAUGAACUGCUCAGUCUGGAGCAUCUUCCAGAUUCACUGUGGAGGGAAGCAAGGCUCGCUUUGGCUGCACAGUGCCAUCACCUCUACAUGGCAGUCCUGAGUACCAGGGAUUUAUAUAGGAAAAAA
Long non-coding RNA from Mauremys reevesii (Reeves's turtle), 667 nucleotides. RefSeq lists it as uncharacterized. NCBI's taxonomy places the organism in Eukaryota, Metazoa, Chordata, Testudines, Geoemydidae. The transcript has 4 exons. The record is from RefSeq and is a predicted model, not a curated record.